AUCCAACCGACAAGUCGCAAAUAGGAUGAAACGCGUGUCCUGAAU
RNAcentral lists this non-coding RNA (45 nucleotides) under Schistosoma mattheei. The record is from RNAcentral. Lineage: Eukaryota; Metazoa; Platyhelminthes; Trematoda; Strigeidida; Schistosomatidae.